AUACCAAGGAUAUUCAUCCUUUUUUGAGAAACAAAAAACGCCUAUUUAAAGGCCUUGCUUAGCUGCCUUUCUUGCAACAGCACUCAGCAGCUCUCACACUUUCGAAGAACAAGAAAGAAGAACAAGAAGAAGAAAAAGAGAUGGAGCGAUCCAUGCGUGUGUUUUCCACAGUUUUCGUCGUGCUGCUGCUUCUUGUGGCCACAGGUAGCUGUUAGUGGCGAAACAAACACCAACGAGAGGUCAAGAAAGAAAAAGGCUGAAAAAGUAGGAUUGGAAAUUGGGGAGCAAGAAGAGUGGCAAUCAAGAAUGUUGCGAUCAGUAUUGCAGGAAGAAAUCAUGAACAAACUGAAAGAAAAAGACGAGGUGAUUCAGAUGAUGGGAAACCUGAAUUUGGACCUUCAAGAAAGAGUGGAAAGCCUAUCUAUACAUAAUCAGCUUUGGAAAGAGUUGGCACAAACUAAUGAGGCCACCGCGAAUACUCUACGCAGCAAUCUAGAAAGCCUAUCUAUAGAGGACAAUUGGGCUAUAUAAGAGGACUAGCAUUGGGGGUGUAAGAACAUUCAUAAUAGUAGAGUUAUUUUUUUAGUCAUUUGACACCAUAAAAUGCUACUUUAUCUAUUUUACUUA
Long non-coding RNA from Quercus robur (English oak), 627 nucleotides. RefSeq lists it as uncharacterized. The record is from RefSeq and is a predicted model, not a curated record. The transcript is spliced from 3 exons. NCBI's taxonomy places the organism in Eukaryota, Viridiplantae, Streptophyta, Magnoliopsida, Fagales, Fagaceae.